RNAcentral lists this ribosomal RNA (723 nucleotides) under uncultured archaeon. Its description in RNAcentral is "bacterial SSU rRNA". It matches the Rfam family "Archaeal small subunit ribosomal RNA", at positions 591 to 1315 of the family's 1478-position model. The record is from RNAcentral.
ACUUGGGACCGGGAGAGGUAAGAGGUACUGCAGGGGUAGGAGUGAAAUCUUGUAAUCCCUGUGAGACCACCAGUGGCGAAGGCGUCUUACCAGAACGGGUCCGACGGUGAGGGACGAAAGCUGGGGGCACGAACCGGAUUAGAUACCCGGGUAGUCCCAGCUGUAAACGAUGCUCGUUAGGUGUCAGGAACGGUGCGACUGUUUCUGGUGCCGAAGGGAAGCCGUGAAACGAGCCACCUGGGAAGUACGGCCGCAAGGCUGAAACUUAAAGGAAUUGGCGGGGGAGCACUACAACGGGUGGAGCCUGCGGUUUAAUUGGACCCAACGCCGGAAAACUCACCGGGGGCGACAGCAAUAUGUAGGUCAGGUUAAAGGUCUUACCUGAAUCGCUGAGAGGAGGUGCAUGGCCGUCGUCAGUUCGUACUGUGAAGCAUCCUGUUAAGUCAGGCAACGAGCAAGACCCGUGCCCACUGUUACCAGCAUAUCCUUUAUGGAUGAUGGGGACUCUGUGGGGACCGCUGCUGCUAAAGCAGAGGAAGGUGCGGGCUACGGUAGGUCAGUAUGCCCCGAAUCUCCCGGGCUACACGCGGGCUACAAUGGUUGGGACAAUGGGUAUCUACUCCGAAAGGAGUUGGCAAUCUCUUAAACCCAAUCGUAGUUCGAAUUGAGGGCUGUAACUCGCCCUCAUGAAGCUGAAUCCGUAGAAUCGCGUUUCACAUAGCG